Molecule: ribosomal RNA, 383 nt
Filed under: uncultured eukaryote
Lineage: Eukaryota
Description: partial 18S ribosomal RNA
Rfam family: Eukaryotic small subunit ribosomal RNA
Source: RNAcentral
CAAUAGCGUAUAUUAAAGUUGUUGUGGUUAAAAAGCUCGUAGUUGGAUCUCGGCAGGCAGGGGGUGGUUCGCUCUUAGCGCUACUGCCCCAUUUGCCUGUGUGAUUGGCGGAGGUUUCGGGGUGCUCUUCGUUGAGUGACCCGGGGCGCCGUCAGGUUUACUUUGAAAAAAUUAGAGUGCUCAAAGCAGGCUUUUCACGCUUGAAUAUUCGUGCAUGGAAUAAUGGAAUAGGAACUCGUUUCUAUUUUGUUGGUUUUCGGAAAUCGAGUUAAUGAUUAAUAGGGACAAUUGGGGGCAUUAGUAUUCAGACGACAGAGGUGAAAUUCUUGGACCGUCUGAAGACUAACUACUGCGAAAGCAUUUGCCAAGAGUGUUUUCAUUAA